This is a long non-coding RNA of Protopterus annectens (West African lungfish), 973 nucleotides long. RefSeq lists it as uncharacterized. The transcript has 2 exons. The record is from RefSeq and is a predicted model, not a curated record. Lineage: Eukaryota; Metazoa; Chordata; Ceratodontiformes; Protopteridae.
UUAUAGACAUGGAUUCAUAUAGAGAUGAGAAGAAGCAACUACAUAGAAGAUCAGCCUGACAGAAAUCAAUAUAGAGUUUCAGAAAUCAAAUUAUCCAUGUUGCCAAAAAACAGCAUUUUUGCCAGCUGCAAUGCAUUCUGUAGCAUUUUAUCACCCUUUUCUACCAUAGAACGAUGCUGGAGUUCCUUAAACUGAAACAGCAGUGCAGAGGAAAAUCUGUUAACAUUUCUGAUAGCUAGAAAAGCCCGAUCUCGUAAAUUUGUAACUUGUUAUUAUAAAAAUAAAAAUGGCACUGCUACAACACCAUUCUCUGACCCACUCCUUCUAUCCACUGAAAGCUACUCUAUUCCAGUAGUUUUUUUUUCACUUUUUCUACUGGAAAUGUUUUAGGAAAUGGGGUCUCCUGUAGAAAUGAUUCAUGAUGCAGGAACCAUCUUUUAGCAUGUUUACAGCAUGUAGUAAUCCCUUAGUGCAAAAAACGGGUGGGUUGAUGGUUGGCUAGGAGGACUAAUGAAUGGAUGCAAGUAGAUAAAGAAAACGCAAUAGCAAAUGUUGAGUUAUAAUAAACUAACAUCUGCUACUGAAGAAGUUAAUUAUAGCAGGUUUUGUUAUAACCUGUUUUGCUUUGAUGAAGCUGAAACUGCAAAAUAUGCUUCAGUUAAGGCAAGCAGAAAUGUAUCGCGGGGUGGGGGACAGUACCUAUAAUGAAUGGUAACCUGAUUUAUUUAGAUUGAGAAAAUGCAAUAAAGAACAGAUUGCUUAAAAUUAUUGAAGUCAUUAUACAAGCAUGAUCAGAUUCUACUGAAAGACUUACCUUACUGCAAGAUUUUUUAAACCUUUUUUAUGCAUGAGUGUUUCUUGUUUCUUUUUCCUCCUCAGAUGUAGCUAACUGCUAAGUAAUCAUAACACAUUGAAAACAUACCUGGCUGCACAUUUCAGCAAAAAUAAAUAAAUAAAAUAAUCUAAUAUUGUG